RNAcentral lists this long non-coding RNA (212 nucleotides) under Lathyrus oleraceus (garden pea). RNAcentral describes it as "Pisum sativum (pea) long non-coding RNA (PSAT_LNC020141)". The record is from RNAcentral. Lineage: Eukaryota; Viridiplantae; Streptophyta; Magnoliopsida; Fabales; Fabaceae.
GAGUUUGGGAGAGAAAGAUUAUGAAAUGUUUAUGGACGGUGCGAAAGAGAUGGCAUAAGAAUCUUGUUUUUUUUAGAAUGAGACGCAUGAAUGUAUGAAUGGAUGCAUGCAAAAAAAAUAUUUUUAGUUUCCUGCGGAUCCUGAGAUUUCAUUUGUUGUUAUGAGUAAUCAUAAAGCUUGAAAAUAAAGACAAAAGACCAAACGUUGUGAAC